UCCACCGAAAGAAAAAGAGUGGCGAACGGGUGAGUAACACGUGGGUAACCUGCCCAUCAGAAGGGGAUAACACUUGGAAACAGGUGCUAAUACCGUAUAACACUAUUUUCCGCAUGGAAGAAAGUUGAAAGGCGCUUUUGCGUCACUGAUGGAUGGACCCGCGGUGCAUUAGCUAGUUGGUGAGGUAACGGCUCACCAAGGCCACGAUGCAUAGCCGACCUGAGAGGGUGAUCGGCCACACUGGGACUGAGACACGGCCCAGACUCCUACGGGAGGCAGCAGUAGGGAAUCUUCGGCAAUGGACGAAAGUCUGACCGAGCAACGCCGCGUGAGUGAAGAAGGUUUUCGGAUCGUAAAACUCUGUUGUUAGAGAAGAACAAGGAUGAGAGUAGAACGUUCAUCCCUUGACGGUAUCUAACCAGAAAGCCACGGCUAACUACGUGCCAGCAGCCGCGGUAAUACGUAGGUGGCAAGCGUUGUCCGGAUUUAUUGGGCGUAAAGCGAGCGCAGGCGGUUUCUUAAGUCUGAUGUGAAAGCCGGCGGCUCAACCGGGGAGGGUC
This 560-nucleotide ribosomal RNA is filed under the name Enterococcus gallinarum. RNAcentral describes it as "bacterial SSU rRNA". It matches the Rfam family "Bacterial small subunit ribosomal RNA", at positions 77 to 624 of the family's 1533-position model. The record is from RNAcentral. Lineage: Bacteria; Bacillati; Bacillota; Bacilli; Lactobacillales; Enterococcaceae.